CCUACGGGUGGCAGCAGUGGGGAAUAUUGCACAAUGGGCGAAACCCUGAUGCAGCAACGCCGCGUGAAGGAAGAAGGGUUUCGGCUCGUAAACUUCUUUUGUUAGGGACGAAAGAGAUGACGGUACCUAACUAAUAAGCCCCGGCUAACUACGUGCCAGCAGCCGCGGUAAUACGUAGGGGGCAAGCGUUAUCCGGAAUUACUGGGUGUAAAGGGAGCGUAGGCGGCAGGGGAAGUAAGAUGUUAAAUCCCGCAGCUUAACUGCGAGGAUUGCAUUUGAAACUAUCUUGCUUGAGUACAGGAGAGGUAAGCGGAAUUCCGAGUGUAGCGGUGAAAUGCGUAGAUAUUAGGAAGAACACCAGUGGCGAAGGCGGCUUACUGGACUGUAACUGACGCUGAGGCGCGAAAGCGUGGGGAGCGAACAGGAUUAGAUACCCUAGUAGUC
RNAcentral lists this ribosomal RNA (444 nucleotides) under uncultured bacterium. Its description in RNAcentral is "partial 16S ribosomal RNA". It matches the Rfam family "Bacterial small subunit ribosomal RNA", at positions 338 to 795 of the family's 1533-position model. The record is from RNAcentral.